RNAcentral lists this ribosomal RNA (253 nucleotides) under uncultured bacterium. RNAcentral describes it as "partial 16S ribosomal RNA". It matches the Rfam family "Bacterial small subunit ribosomal RNA", at positions 524 to 776 of the family's 1533-position model. The record is from RNAcentral.
UACGAAGGGGGCUAGCGUUGCUCGGAAUCACUGGGCGUAAAGGGUGCGUAGGCGGGUCUUUAAGUCAGUGGUGAAAUCUCCGGGCUCAACCCGGAAACUGCCAUUGAUACUAUCUGUCUUGAAUAUCGUGGAGGUAAGCGGAAUAUGUCAUGUAGCGGUGAAAUGCUUAGAUAUGACAUAGAACACCAAUUGCGAAGGCAGCUUACUACCCGAAUAUUGACACUGAGGCACGAAAGCGUGGGGAUCAAACAGG